GACGAACUGUCCUAACGUUGUUCGGAUUCACUGGGCGUAAAGGGUGCGUAGGUGGUGAGGUAAGUCGGGUGUGAAAUCUCCGAGCUCAACUCGGAAAUGGCACUGGAAACUACCUUGCUCGAGGGUUGGAGGGGGGACUGGAAUGCUUGGUGUAGCAGUGAAAUGCGUAGAUAUCAAGCGGAACACCAGUGGCGAAGGCGAGUCCCUGGACAACUCCUGACACUGAGGCACGAAAGCUAGGGGAGCAAACAGG
This 253-nucleotide ribosomal RNA is filed under the name uncultured bacterium. RNAcentral's name for it is "partial 16S ribosomal RNA". It matches the Rfam family "Bacterial small subunit ribosomal RNA", at positions 524 to 776 of the family's 1533-position model. The record is from RNAcentral.